RNAcentral lists this long non-coding RNA (229 nucleotides) under Phoenix dactylifera (date palm). Its description in RNAcentral is "long non-coding RNA (PDAC_LNC006948)". Lineage: Eukaryota; Viridiplantae; Streptophyta; Magnoliopsida; Arecales; Arecaceae. The record is from RNAcentral.
AACUUAUUUUUUAAUAUUAGUAACUUAUGGUUUGAUUUUCUGUAAUUGCAUAUUAGUAUGGUGAGGAGUUACAUGUCUUUUGGAUUUUUAGUCAUGUGGAAGUUACAUGUCUUUUGGAUUUUUAGUCAUGUGGGAGUUACAUGGAGUUAUAAGGAAUUUAUUUAGAGGGAGUUAUUUGAGAUUUAUUUGGGGUUAUGAAUGGUGUAAUGACCAAUUCAAUUAGGAAGGU